UUGGAGGGCAAGUCUGGUGCCAGCAGCCGCGGUAAUUCCAGCUCCAAUAGCGUAUAUUAAAGUUGUUGCAGUUAAAAAGCUCGUAGUUGAGUUUCGGGGUCAGUAGGUUGGUCAUGCCACUGGUAUGUACUGGUCUCACUGAUUCCUCCUUCCUGAUGAGCUGUAAUGCCAUUAAUUUGGUGUUGCGGGGAAUCUGGACUGUUACUUUGAAAAAAUUAGAGUGUUUAAAGCAGGCUAACGCCUGAAUACAUUAGCAUGGAAUAAUGAAAUAGGACGUUCGAUCCUAUUUUGUUGGUUUCUAGGAUUGACGUAAUGAUUAAUAGGGAUAGUUGGGGGCAUUAGUAUUCAAUUGUCAGAGGUGAAAUUCUUGGAUUUAUUGAAGACUAACUACCGCGAAAGCAUUUGCCAAGGAUGUUUUCAUUAAUCAAGAACGAAAGUUAGGGGAUCAAAGACGAUCAGAUACCGUCGUAGUCUUAACCAUAAACUAUGCCGACUAGGGAUCGGAUGAUGUUAAUUUUUUAAUGACUCAUUCGGCGCCUUACGGGAAAC
RNAcentral lists this ribosomal RNA (549 nucleotides) under uncultured Glomeraceae. Its description in RNAcentral is "SSU rRNA". It matches the Rfam family "Eukaryotic small subunit ribosomal RNA", at positions 548 to 1098 of the family's 1831-position model. The record is from RNAcentral. Lineage: Eukaryota; Fungi; Glomeromycota; Glomeromycetes; Glomerales; Glomeraceae.